GCAGGAAUUCCGAGUCCGGGCUGGAGCGUGAUCUGGAAUCCGGCUCUCUUGAAACAGCACCGCGGAGGAUUCGGAUCCGGGAGCUGGGACAGUUAUAUUCAUCAGAACAGCACGGUGUCAAGGCCCUCACCCCCAGAAAGCUUAGGAGACACUGUUUUAUGGAGGAGAGUGAGAUUGGAGGAAGCCCUGACUCCAGGUCUCCUGAUCCUUCCUACACAAAGCGAAGCUGAAAAAAAGUGCAGGACACUCCAUUUCCUCCUGGGACCAGACAGGGAAGCCAGAGCCACCAUGGAUGUCAAAUUCCGGCAAGGAAACACCAGUAUAGCAAAAUCUCCACAUCACAUUUUAAAGCUCACACAAUGGCUCAAAGAGAACCCACAUCAAAAAACCGAAUUCCUAGCUCAGGUGAGAUCACCAAAGUUGCCUGUGAGGCUUCGUGGAACCUGCAGGUAGAAAGGACAUCUUUAUUUCGAGCUGCAGCCCAGUUGCUUCUGCGUCUUGGAGCCCCUUGAAAGGACCCUCUCCCUUCAACAGUACAUAGGGAGGCCAUUUCUGGGGAGAAAUGUAGACUGUCCUUAGACUCCUGAGGUUUUUACACUUGCUUGCUGACUCUGUGGACUUUGACUUCAUCAUUAAACAUCUUAUAAUGAUGUAAUUUGCUUUGACUGUAAGUGUAGAACAGGACGCUGUUCCUGAAUCAGGAAACAAGGGACUGGUGACCUGAACUGCCACCACCCUCCCUGGUGCUCAGAUGCAAUGAAAUCGUGAGGCAACAAAUCUAUGGCUAGGUAAAGGGUCAACUCCAUUUCAGCAAAUGUUUCAGAUGUUCCUUCCUGCCUAGUAAUGUUCCAGCUUUACCCCAGCCUUAAUCUUUUAAAAUGUAUAUUUUCCUUAGCGUUGAUUUUAAAGUAAUUCGUAUGUAUUUAUUACACUGGGUUUGUUGCAGUAAGCCACCUCGAAUGUUGCUGUAGAAUUAAAGUAAGCAAAUAAAUGUGUGGUUCUCCAAGGAGUUAUUGCUAACACCAUCUUAAAAAUGUAUUAACCCCAAAUCCAAUCACUUCUCACUCCUCUACUGCCUCCUCCCCAGGGCCAUCCUCUCCAAGAUAGUAAACCAGAAGGCCUUCCAGCUGGGCUGCCUGCUGACUCUCACACCCGCUGUCCAUCACCCACACAAUAGUCAGAGUGAGCAUUUCAAAUGGGAAUUAGAGCUCAUCCUCGCCUCCGCGUCCCACAGACAUGCCAGCCUCUUCCCUUCUUAGCACAGUGAAACCCCAGUCUCUCACUAUGUUUUACAGCCCCUCAUCCCUCAUCACAGGAUCCUUCUGGCCACUCUGGCCUCAUCCCACCCCUCUCGGCCCAGCUCAUUCAUCUCCACUAACACUGCUCAAUCCUGUCUCAGGCACCUCCCACUGGAACUCCCCAAGUGCACCUGCUCCCCAGGGAUCCAAAGGGAUCCAAAGGCCCCUCACACCAUUCAGGUCUCUGCUCAGACGUCCAGUGUUCAAAUUCCCAGGAACAUCUUGAUCAACAGACUAUAUCUCCUAC
RNAcentral lists this long non-coding RNA (1545 nucleotides) under Homo sapiens (human). RNAcentral's name for it is "HSALNT0104333". Lineage: Eukaryota; Metazoa; Chordata; Mammalia; Primates; Hominidae. The record is from RNAcentral.